ACAACGACUCUCGGCAACGGAUAUCUCGGCUCUCGCAUCGAUGAAGAACGUAGCGAAAUGCGAUACUUGGUGUGAAUUGCAGAAUCCCGUGAACCAUCGAGUCUUUGAACGCAAGUUGCGCCCGAAGCCAGUAGGCCGAGGGCACGCCUGCCUGGGCGUCUCACA
This 165-nucleotide ribosomal RNA is filed under the name Palaquium eriocalyx. Its description in RNAcentral is "5.8S ribosomal RNA". It matches the Rfam family "5.8S ribosomal RNA". From Rfam's summary of the family: 5.8S ribosomal RNA (5.8S rRNA) is a component of the large subunit of the eukaryotic ribosome. Lineage: Eukaryota; Viridiplantae; Streptophyta; Magnoliopsida; Ericales; Sapotaceae. The record is from RNAcentral.